Molecule: small nuclear RNA, 108 nt
Filed under: Microcebus murinus (gray mouse lemur)
Lineage: Eukaryota; Metazoa; Chordata; Mammalia; Primates; Cheirogaleidae
Source: RNAcentral
GUGCUUACUUUGGCGGCUCACAUAUUAAAAUUGGACUGAUACAGAAGAGAUUAGCAUGGCCCCUAUGCAAGGAUGACGACACAAAUUUGUGAAGAGUUCCUUCCAUAU